UGAAAACGUUUUACAAUAGAGUCGUUCUUGAAUUUCGUUUUUUUGAAAAAGAAUUGCCAAAUGAUAUUUGGAAAGGAGAUUAUUCUUUUUCAUUUCAACGAGAAAUAUUUUAAAAGGAGGAAGAACAAGA
Molecule: small RNA, 130 nt
Filed under: Streptococcus iniae
Lineage: Bacteria; Bacillati; Bacillota; Bacilli; Lactobacillales; Streptococcaceae
Description: Streptococcus sRNA SSRC34
Rfam family: Streptococcus sRNA SSRC34
About the family: It is based on computationally predicted coordinates (RNAz).
Source: Rfam by way of RNAcentral